This 375-nucleotide ribosomal RNA is filed under the name Chromodoris magnifica. RNAcentral describes it as "partial 16S ribosomal RNA". It matches the Rfam family "Bacterial large subunit ribosomal RNA", at positions 1940 to 2597 of the family's 2925-position model. The record is from RNAcentral. Lineage: Eukaryota; Metazoa; Mollusca; Gastropoda; Nudibranchia; Chromodorididae.
CUUUGACCGUGCUAAGGUAGCACAAUCAAAANGGCCCUUAAUUAGGGUCAGGUAUGAAUGGAGUUACGGGGCUUAGCUGUCUCUAGACUAUUUAAUUGAAGUUGCUAUAUAGGUGAAAAAGCCUGUAUUAAGAAAAAAGACGAGAAGACCCUUAGAGUUUUACUUAAAAGAGUUAUUUCUUCACUAGUUUUGUUGGGGCAACAUAGGAGAAGAACUAAACCUCCUAAAGGAUAUAAACCGAUGUUUUUAAAUGUGAAUAAACUACCUUAGGGAUAACAGCAUAAUUUUAAAAAUAAGUUUGUGACCUCGAUGUUGGACUAGGAAACUUAAGGGCUAGCCGCCUUUUGGUAAGGUUCUGUUCGAACUAUAAUUCCU